UUGAACGCUGGCGGCAGGCCUAACACCUGCAAGUCGAACGGUAACAGGAAGAAGCUUGCUUCUUUGCUGACGAGUGGCGGACGGGUGAGUAAUGUCUGGGAAACUGCCUGAUGGAGAGGGAUAACUACUGGAAACGGUAGCUAAUACCGCAUAACGUCGCAAAACCAAAGAGGGGGACCUUCGGGCCUCUUGCCAUCGGAUGUGCCCAGAUGGGAUUAGCUAGUAGGUGGGGUAACGGCUCACCUAGGCGACGAUCCCUAGCUGGUCUGAGAGGAUGACCAGCCACACUGGAACUGAGACACGGUCCAGACUCCUACGGGAGGCAGCAGUGGGGAAUAUUGCACAAUGGGCGCAAGCCUGAUGCAGCCAUGCCGCGUGUAUGAAGAAGGCCUUCGGGUUGUAAAGUACUUUCAGCGGGGAGGAAGGGAGUAAAGUUAAUACCUUGGCUCAUUGACGUUACCCGCAGAAGAAGCACCGGCUAACUCCGUG
RNAcentral lists this ribosomal RNA (489 nucleotides) under uncultured bacterium. RNAcentral describes it as "partial 16S ribosomal RNA". It matches the Rfam family "Bacterial small subunit ribosomal RNA", at positions 30 to 507 of the family's 1533-position model. The record is from RNAcentral.